Long non-coding RNA from Ictalurus punctatus (channel catfish), 682 nucleotides. RefSeq lists it as uncharacterized. Lineage: Eukaryota; Metazoa; Chordata; Actinopteri; Siluriformes; Ictaluridae. The record is from RefSeq and is a predicted model, not a curated record. The transcript has 3 exons.
UCACACACUCUGUAAGUCUAAUUUAUGCAAAUUAUGGUACCACCCACUUAGUAAAGGACUGUGGCUAAUCUGCAUAUGCACAUUAGCUCUUGUUAGCGGAUUAAAAAGCUUUAAAACAAAGAGGAAGUAGGAAAAGAACUACAUUUCCCAUCUGCCCUGGCUGUCACAGGCUAAUAGCACCAGCUGCUUUCCAUUACCCUAAUGAGUGAUUCUACUGCUGCAACGAGACCAAAUACAACGAAAGUAUUGAUGCUGCAAAAGAAGACGGAUCUUUUGGUAGGCUGGUUAAUGAUGACCACAGGCACCCAAAUGGCAGAAUGCAGAAGACUGAAGUGGAUGGAAGCCCACAUCUUGGUCUGUUUGCUUUAACAGACUUUAAAGAAGGAGAUGAAAUUACCUGCAAUUACGGAGGAGGAGUCUGGCCUUGGUGUAAUAGGACGUUAUUUAAAAGCUCAUACAGCUGAUGUGAUUUUUAUUUAGUAGUUAAUUUAACAUGCUAUGCUAACAUGUAAACAAUAAGAUAAUAUUACCUGACGUACAUUUUACACUCAAUAUUGUCUGUUUCUGUUCUAUUUCACCAACAAAAAUAUUUCCAAACAAAGCCACAGCAGGUCCUGCUCCUUUUUCCUCCUAAUUCCCUCAUUUCUCCACGUUGGGAUUAAUAAAGUAUUAUCGUAUCUCA